RNAcentral lists this unclassified non-coding RNA (364 nucleotides) under Hevea brasiliensis (rubber tree). Lineage: Eukaryota; Viridiplantae; Streptophyta; Magnoliopsida; Malpighiales; Euphorbiaceae. The record is from RNAcentral.
UUGGUCGACCAAUGCAAUUGAAGCUUCAUAUCAACAGAAAAGAUUCAAUAAGGAAAUCUAAAAGAUUUUUGGUAUUGUCAAACCAGCAAAAGCACAGUUGUAAAGAAAAAGGUUCCAUUUCCAACCUUAAGCCCAGAAAUUGGUAUAUCUGAUUACAAUCAAAAAAGAGAAGGGGGAGAAUAAAAAAUGCCCUGCUUGUUUCCAGCCACCCACUGAGAAAAGAGAAUUUCCAACAAAAUGACAGGGAGAAAGCAGCAAAGGCAAGCAUAUUUAAAUUAAAAUUCAAACCAUCCCCACUUUACAAAAAAACAAAAAAAUUACUAUGAAUCGAUCAAAACUUAACAAUCAAUCAAAUAUAAAAGGG